This 69-nucleotide transfer RNA is filed under the name Sinacroneuria dabieshana. Its description in RNAcentral is "tRNA-Gln". It matches the Rfam family "tRNA". Rfam says of the family: Transfer RNA (tRNA) molecules are approximately 80 nucleotides in length. Their secondary structure includes four short double-helical elements and three loops (D, anti-codon, and T loops). The record is from RNAcentral. Lineage: Eukaryota; Metazoa; Arthropoda; Insecta; Plecoptera; Perlidae.
UAUGCUUUAGUGUAGGGUGCACAAAAGUUUUUGAUACUUUAAGUAAUAGUUCAAAUCUAUUGGGCAUAA